AUUGAACGCUGGCGGCAGGCCUAACACAUGCAAGUCGGACAGUAGCACAGAGGAGCUUGCUCCUCGGGUGACGAGUGGCGGACGGGUGAGUAAUGUCUGGGGAUCUGCCCGAUAGAGAGGGAUAACCACUGGAAACGGUGGCUAAUACCGCAUAACGUCGCAAGACCAAAGAGGGGGACCUUCGGGCCUCUCACUAUCGGAUGAACCCAGAGGGGAUUAGCUAGUAGGCGGGGUAAUGGCCCACCUAGGCGACGAUCCCUAGCUGGUCUGAGAGGAUGACCAGCCACACUGGAACUGAGACACGGUCCAGACUCCUACGGGAGGCAGCAGUGGGGAAUAUUGCACAAUGGGCGCAAGCCUGAUGCAGCCAUGCCGCGUGUAUGAAGAAGGCCUUCGGGUUGUAAAGUACUUUCAGCGGGGAGGAAGGCGAUGUGGUUAAUAACCUUGUCGAUUGACGUUACCCGCAGAAGAAGCACCGGCUAACUCCGUGCCAGCAGCCGCAGUAA
RNAcentral lists this ribosomal RNA (506 nucleotides) under uncultured bacterium. RNAcentral describes it as "partial 16S ribosomal RNA". It matches the Rfam family "Bacterial small subunit ribosomal RNA", at positions 30 to 523 of the family's 1533-position model. The record is from RNAcentral.